GAGGAUAUAGCUCAGUUGGUAGACCACUUGCCUCGCAUGCAUAAGGCCCUGGGUUCAAUCCCCAGUACCACA
RNAcentral lists this transfer RNA (72 nucleotides) under Ictidomys tridecemlineatus (thirteen-lined ground squirrel). RNAcentral's name for it is "Spermophilus tridecemlineatus (thirteen-lined ground squirrel) tRNA". It matches the Rfam family "tRNA". Rfam says of the family: Transfer RNA (tRNA) molecules are approximately 80 nucleotides in length. Their secondary structure includes four short double-helical elements and three loops (D, anti-codon, and T loops). Lineage: Eukaryota; Metazoa; Chordata; Mammalia; Rodentia; Sciuridae. The record is from Rfam by way of RNAcentral.